GACGAACGCUUUCGGCGUGCUUAACACAUGCAAGUCGAACGGAAAGGCCCUGCUUUUGUGGGGUGCUCGAGUGGCGAACGGGUGAGUAACACGUGAGUAACCUGCCCUUGACUUUGGGAUAACUUCAGGAAACUGGGGCUAAUACCGGAUAGGAGCUCCUGCUGCAUGGUGGGGGUUGGAAAGUUUCGGCGGUUGGGGAUGGACUCGCGGCUUAUCAGCUUGUUGGUGGGGUAGUGGCUUACCAAGGCUUUGACGGGUAGCCGGCCUGAGAGGGUGACCGGCCACAUUGGGACUGAGAUACGGCCCAGACUCCUACGGGAGGCAGCAGUGGGGAAUAUUGCACAAUGGGCGGAAGCCUGGUGCAGCAACGUCGCGUGCGGGAUGACGGCCUUCGGGUUGUAAACCGCUUUCGCCUGUGACGAAGCGUGAGUGACGGUAAUGGGUAAAGAAGCACCGGCUAACUACGUGCCAGCAGCCGCGGUGAUACGUAGGGUGCGAGCGUUGUCCGGAUUUAUUGGGCGUAAAGGGCUCGUAGGUGGUUGAUCGCGUCGGAAGUGUAAUCUUGGGGCUUAACCCUGAGCGUGCUUUCGAUACGGGUUGACUUGAGGAAGGUAGGGGAGAAUGGAAUUCCUGGUGGAGCGGUGGAAUGCGCAGAUAUCAGGAGGAACACCAGUGGCGAAGGCGGUUCUCUGGGCCUUUCCUGACGCUGAGGAGCGAAAGCGUGGGGAGCGAACAGGCUUAGAUACCCUGGUAGUCCACGCUGUAAACGGUGGGUACUAGGUGUGGGGUCCAUUCCACGGGUUCCGUGCCGUAGCUAACGCUUUAAGUACCCCGCCUGGGGAGUACGGCCGCAAGGCUAAAACUCAAAGGAAUUGACGGGGCCCCGCACAAGCGGCGGAGCAUGCGGAUUAAUUCGAUGCAACGCGUAGAACCUUACCUGGGUUUGACAUGGAUCGGGAGUGCUCAGAGAUGGGUGUGCCUCUUUUGGGGUCGGUUCACAGGUGGUGCAUGGCUGUCGUCAGCUCGUGUCGUGAGAUGUUGGGUUAAGUCCCGCAACGAGCGCAACCCUUGUUCACUGUUGCCAGCACGUUAUGGUGGGGACUCAGUGGAGACCGCCGGGGUCAACUCGGAGGAAGGUGGGGAUGACGUCAAGUCAUCAUGCCCCUUAUGUCCAGGGCUUCACGCAUGCUACAAUGGCUGGUACAGAGAGUGGCGAGCCUGUGAGGGUGAGCGAAUCUCGGAAAGCCGGUCUCAGUUCGGAUUGGGGUCUGCAACUCGACCUCAUGAAGUCGGAGUCGCUAGUAAUCGCAGAUCAGCAACGCUGCGGUGAAUACGUUCCCGGG
Molecule: ribosomal RNA, 1343 nt
Filed under: uncultured bacterium
Lineage: Bacteria
Description: 16S ribosomal RNA
Rfam family: Bacterial small subunit ribosomal RNA
Source: RNAcentral